UUAGACAUGCAAGUGGAACCACAGGUUGCACGGUAGUAUACUCCACCCUUUUUUUAUGAGUUGUGAACGGGUAAGUAACGCGUAGGUAACCUGCCUGGUAGCGGGGGAUAACUAUGGAAACGAUAGCUAAUACCGCAUAAGAACAUUUACUGCAUGGUAGAUGUUUAAAAGGUGCAAGAGCAUCACUACCCAGAUGGACCUGCGUUGUAUUAGCUAGUUGGUGAGGUAACGGCUCACCAAGGCAACGAUACAUAGCCGACCUGAGAGGGUGAUCGGCCACACUGGGACUGAGACACGGCCCAGACUCCUACGGGAGGCAGCAGUAGGGAAUCUUCGGCAAUGGGGGAAACCCUGACCGAGCAACGCCGCGUGAGUGAAGAAGGUUUUCGGAUCGUAAAGCUCUGUUGUUAAGGAAGAACGUGUGUGAGAGUGGAAAGUUCACACAGUGACGGUACUUAACCAGAAAGGGACGGCUAACUACGUGCCAGCAGCCGCGGUAAUACGUAGGUCUCGAGCGUUGUCCGGAUUUAUUGGGCGUAAAGCGAGCGCAGGCGGUUAGAUAAGUCUGAAGUGAAAGGCAGUGGCUCAACCAUUGUAGGCUUUGGAAACUGUUUAACUUGAGUGCAGAAGGGGAGAGUGGAAUUCCAUGUGUAGCGGUGAAAUGCGUAGAUAUAUGGAGGAACACCGGUGGCGAAAGCGGCUCUCUGGUCUGUAACUGACGCUGAGGCUCGAAAGCGUGGGGAGCGAACAGG
RNAcentral lists this ribosomal RNA (752 nucleotides) under uncultured Streptococcus sp. Its description in RNAcentral is "bacterial SSU rRNA". It matches the Rfam family "Bacterial small subunit ribosomal RNA", at positions 49 to 776 of the family's 1533-position model. Lineage: Bacteria; Bacillati; Bacillota; Bacilli; Lactobacillales; Streptococcaceae. The record is from RNAcentral.